Long non-coding RNA from Gallus gallus (chicken), 1078 nucleotides. Lineage: Eukaryota; Metazoa; Chordata; Aves; Galliformes; Phasianidae. The record is from Ensembl.
GGGGUCUUUAUGGGGUCCUAUGGGGUUCUAUGGGGCUCUAUGGGGCAAUAUGUGGUCCUAUGGGGUCCUUAUAGGGUCCUAUCGGGUCCUUAUGGGGUCCUAUGGGGCUCUACGGGGUCCUAUGGGGUCCUAUGGGGGUUUAAAGGGGUUCUAUGGGGGCUUUAUAGGGCCCUAUGUGGUCCUAUGGGGUCCUUAUGGGGUUCUAUGGGGCUCUAUGGGGUCCUAUAGGGGCUUAAAGGGGUCCUUAUGGGGUCUUCUGGGGUUUAUGGUGUCCUAUGGGGUUCUAUGGGGUCCUUAUGGGGUCCUUAUGGGGUCUGAAAAGGUUUAUAGGGUCCUUAUGGGGACCUAUGGGGGCUUUACGGGGUCCUUAUGGGGCUCUAUAGGAGGGGUCUUAGGAGGUCUUAUGGGGUCCUAUGGGGUCCUAUGGGGCUCUAUGGGGUCUUUAUGGGGUCCCAUGGGGGCUUAAAGGAGUCCUUAUAGGGUCCUAUGUGGUCUAUGGUGUCCUAUUGGGUUCUAUGGGGUUCUAUGGGGUCAUUAUGGGGUUCUAUGGGGGCUUAAAGGGGUCCUUAUGGGGUCCUAUGGGGCUCUAUGGGGUCCUAUGGGGUUCUAUGGGGGCUUAAAGGGUUCCUAUGGGUUCAUUAUGGGGUCCUUAUGGGGUCAGAGAGGGCUUAUAGGGUUCUUAUGGGACUCUACGGGGUCUUUAUGGGGUCCUAUGGGGCUCUAUGGGGUCCUAUGGGGCUCUAUGGGGUCCUAUGGGGGCUUAAAGGGGUCCUUAUGGGGCUCUAUGGGGUUCUAUGGAGGCUUAAAGGGGUCCUAUGGGGCUCUAUGAGGGCCUAUGGGGUCCUAUGGGGCUCUAUGGGGUCCUAUAGGGGCUUAAAGGGGUCUUUACGGGGUCCUAUGGGGCUCUCCGGGUCCUUAUGGGGUUCUUAUGGGGUCCUAUGGGAUUCUAUGGGGUCCUUAUGGGGCACUAUGCUGUCCCUAUGAGGUUGUAUGGGAACUCAAAGGGGUUCUAUGGGCUCUAUGGGGUCCUUAUAGGUUCUAUGGGGUCCUAUGGGGACCUCUGGGGGCUUUAUGGGGU